GUCCAGCUAGCUCAGUUACUAGAGCAUAAGAUUCUUAAUCUUAUGGUUGUGGGUUUGAGCCCCAUGUUGCGUG
Non-coding RNA from Alligator sinensis (Chinese alligator), 73 nucleotides. Lineage: Eukaryota; Metazoa; Chordata; Crocodylia; Alligatoridae. The record is from Rfam.